RNAcentral lists this ribosomal RNA (432 nucleotides) under Triticum aestivum (bread wheat). Its description in RNAcentral is "partial small subunit ribosomal RNA". Lineage: Eukaryota; Viridiplantae; Streptophyta; Magnoliopsida; Poales; Poaceae. The record is from RNAcentral.
AUGACAACACCUCACCGCCGCGGCACUCUUCGUCGUCUUCGGCCGACGAUGUGGGUGACGGAGCCACUGCUGCUUCCGCCUCCCCUAGUCAACGUGAACUCACCGGAGGUGUAUCGGGAGAUGGAGCGGGUGGUGCAGGAGAGGUUCCCGAAUCACUCAGAGUGGUUACAUCUCUUCAAUGUCAUCAUCCAACACGCCACGUUCGAGGAGUAUGUGAGGUUCACCGGCGACGACGACACAUCGGAUGUGGAGGUCCUAUUCUGGGUCAUUCAGGAGGCGAGCUUUCCAGAUCCAGCGCAGGCAGCAAGGUGGAGCAACUUCCGCAUGCUCAAUCGGCCUCAGCUCAACAUCGCAAGGACGCGGGUGGAUGCUCUGUCCAGAAUCCCGUCGGACGCGCUACCGCCGGGGGUUCGCCCUCCCUGCGUGCAAUAG